AUGGUGUACUUCGACUCAUGGGACGAGUUCGUCGACCGGUCCGUGCAGCUCUUCCGCGCCGACCCCAUCACCACUCGCUAUUGUAUGAAGUACCGGCACUGCGACGGGAAGCUCGUGCUCAAGGUCACCGACGACCGCGAGUGCUUGAAGUUCAAGACGGAUCAAGCUCAGGACGCAAAGAAGAUGGAGAAGCUCAACAACAUCUUUUUCGCUCUCAUGACUCGUGGACCUGAUGCUGACAUAAGCGAGGUUUCAGGGAAGGAACAAGCGGAGCAGCAGCAAUCAAAGAAGGGACGGGGCAGGAGGCAGUAG
This 312-nucleotide ribosomal RNA is filed under the name Triticum aestivum (bread wheat). RNAcentral describes it as "partial small subunit ribosomal RNA". The record is from RNAcentral. Lineage: Eukaryota; Viridiplantae; Streptophyta; Magnoliopsida; Poales; Poaceae.